UCGUUUGAGAUCACUAAUCAAUGCAAGAAUUUUUUCUCCAAGAAUAAUAAACAACAGAAUCCAAAAAUUAUUAAAAAGCCCUAGCAAAAAUUUUUACGUCCGUAAUUUAAACCUAACACUUUUAUUUUUCAUAUUACCGCCGUGAACGGCGGCCGACGUCUAAUCAUAAUGAUUCCGCCGGCCCGGAAUGGCGGAGAAACAGCUAUUUGAACGGCCAAGCGAUCGUGAGGCGUCCUUCUUUGGAGAGUCCAGCGAUCGUCGGAGAAGCUGUUUCAUAGCCGAAAUCAAAUCCUCAGUUGGAUUCAGAGGAGGAAUUGAAGAUUUGAAUGCUUUGUGAAACUUCAUAUGCCGCUUCACAGCUUCACCGGUAGUGAUUUUGCUCUGAGAUCUCAGAGACUCGUCUUUCACAGCUUCCGCACAGAGUCCACAAAUCCAUCGCCCUUCGUAUCUCUCCCGUACACGGCUGAUGUACGCCGGAGUACACUCCUCCGUCAAUCCACAGCACUCGCAUUUUACAGACUCCACGUCCAUUACUUGACUGUUAUGCUGCGUCACGGGAGCCGUCUGCUCCAUGCCGGAUAUCACCUUCGUAAUCGUCGUCACUUUCGCCGCCAUUGUUGUCUUCUUCAAUCAAGCUCUGGAAUUUUCUUCUCUCUGGAUGGUUUGGAAUUUGGAUCGUUCCUUUUUAUGCUUCUUGAUUGAUCUCUUCCGUUGAAGAUAUGGAAAUCCGAGAAAAGUUGAUUUGGAUUUGGAUUUGGAUUUG
This 763-nucleotide unclassified non-coding RNA is filed under the name Hevea brasiliensis (rubber tree). Lineage: Eukaryota; Viridiplantae; Streptophyta; Magnoliopsida; Malpighiales; Euphorbiaceae. The record is from RNAcentral.